RNAcentral lists this long non-coding RNA (6762 nucleotides) under Podarcis lilfordi (Lilford's wall lizard). The record is from RNAcentral. Lineage: Eukaryota; Metazoa; Chordata; Lepidosauria; Squamata; Lacertidae.
AUCUAUCACAUGGCAGUGAGAGAGAUAUAUAAUAAAAACAGAAAAAUGGCGACAGUCACGUUGUGGCGAGUCUAUGCUGCGUCAUUAGAUAAUCUUCAUGCAAAGAUCGCUAAGAACAAAGAAAAAAAGAGAGAGGGGGUAGAAAACGCGGCUGGAAAGGUGGGUGGGCAGAAGGCAGCGGCUUGCGGGGAGCGGGGGGUUGGACGGGAUCAGGGAGGGGGCGGGCGGGCGUGUGUGUUUUUCCAGGGCAUCGCAGCCAGGCAGCCCAACUCCCGAGCUGCCAGGUCUCCAUUCACAUUUCAGACUCUCUCGGAAAGCCCAGCUACCGAGGUUGGUGCAUGUUUAUAGGACGGAGACGGGAGGGGUGUUUCUCGAGGGUGCGGGGUCUGAGGGGAGGAGUAGCGGGUCAGAUUCGGGUUCCCUUCCCCCUUGUUUUCCCUUCCUACCCGCGAUCGCCCGUGGCUGCACGCCGCUGGAGACGCUGGGUUUUGUUUACAAGCGGGGCUCCCUAACAGCUGGCUAAUUAUUCUGCUCUAACCAUCAGGCACGCCUACCGCAGGCGCACUUUUCGGGUACGGGAGCGAAUGUUUUGCUUUGCUUUGGGGUUUCUUCCCCACCCCCGAGGGACGGGGAGGUGGGUAGGGGUGGGGUCCCAUCUUCUCCCCGAACCCUUUGACGGAGCGGAUGUUUAGAACGAGGCGAAUUUUUCUACCCUACGGAGGGGAGACCUCCUCUUGCGCUGCGAUUGUGGAGGUGGCGGGGGGGGGCGCAUGGCUAGUGAGCCCCCGAGGGCGGGUGCCUGGGUGGCUUUUUAAAAAACGUUGCGCACUCUUAUUUUGCUUAAGAAUCCUGGCGCUGCUCCCUUCCAGUCAAGCGAUUGUAAAUAUAGCCUAGAUGUUGUUUACAUGAAACAUCCAGAGGGAGGAGCCUCGGAAGCAGAAGGAAGAGGAAGACGGAGGAGGCUCCCCGGCUGGCUGGGGUGAGUAUCCCGAAAGGAGGAGCUACAGCUGGGGCUGGAGGCUGUUGUCAAGCAGCCUUGGCACCGCGCGCUUUUGAGGGUCGCUCCUCGGACAAGUGCUGCUACUCGGAUACCCCAAAGCUUCUUCCCUGUUGGAGAUUCCGGGCUGGCAAAGGGCAGGCGAGCCGGUUGUUCUGGCCUGCUGCUGUUCUCAGUGCUGGGAAUGUCUUCUGCCUCAAACCCUGGAGAUGCCACUGCCGUUCAGAGUAGACAGGAGGGGGCUAAAUGGACCAUUGGUGUGAUUUGGUCCAAAGCAGCUUCCUGUAGAGUCGUGUUUCUCCAGUAUGGGCACUUUUUGGAGUGCAUCUUCUUUUAUUUUCAGCUGGUAAGGUAGGGAGGGCCAGGGGUGCCUUCCAAUAUAAUAGAGCUGAAGAUGCACUGAAAGGGCAGCAGAUUGUCAGUGACUCAGUGUAGUGCGCUCUGUUCUGUUUGUUUUACUGCAGAGUUUGGAUUUUAAGCCAAAAUGUCUUGAGGCUGUGCAUGAAAUGAUCAUCUUUUGAAUUAAAGAGGGGGGCGUUGUCAGCUCUUAGCUCUCUAUUGCCUGUCACUUUAAAAGUGAAGGAAGAUGCAGUUCUGUGCCACCUGCCCUAUUCCACCACUAGCCCCUGUCACCCACCUUUCUCCUCAGUCUGCUUUAGGGCAAGAUCAACUCCUGCUUGUUAAGGCAGCUGGAUAGGAAACGCUGAAGGAAUGGAAAGGGCAGCCUAGUGGCUGUGGCUAUGCUCUUGCUUCAGAGGUUUCAAAAGACCACACAUGAUCUCUAGCCUGUCAGCUGACAACACUAACUUUGGGGAUCUUGUGUUUUUUGACAGAGAGAUUUGGGGAGAUGGAGCUUAGCCCCACCAGUACCGUGGUGAGGCGAGGUGCACAGUGGGUUGCAAGUUGCAUCAGCUAAAAUUCCCUCAUCUGCACAACUAGGGCCCUGGGUGUUUAAAAGGCUGCCCCUAUUAUAAGCAGUCAUAGCAUGCACGCCACAUUUAUCCUCUCUGAGAGAGAGUAACUUGCCCAAGGCCAACUAGUGGCAUCUUGGCUGAGCAGAUAUCAGGACUUGUAUGUCUCUUGUCAGAAGCCAGUAGUGUGUUACUGUCUCACACUGGCCCUGUAAGGCUUGAGUUUAUCCAGAAACGGUGGUAUGCCAACUGAUCCUAGUCAUGUAUACUCAGAAAGAAGGUCCAUUUAGUUCAUUGGGGCUGACCCCCAAUUAAGCAUGCAGGACUGAAGCCUUAACCUCCAUCUUGUUUUCAAUUCCUGGCAAUGCAUGUAAGACUAGAGUGCCUCUGGGUAUGGCCAGAGUGUCUUUCCAUCACACACUGAGUCACUACCAGCCCUCCCGCUCAUCCUGAAAAUUAACUACUGGGCCAGGUAAAGCCUGGGACAGUCUGACCCUCAGAUUCCAGGAAUAAGCUCUGAAAAUAUGGAGUUAGGGAACAAAUUUCAAAUACAUGACAUCUAAAAAAAAAUCAAGGAUAUCUGAUAGUUCUAGGCAUAACAAAUCCCUAUGAAGCUAUUCCCGCAAGAUCCAGGGAGCAUUUCCUUUCUCUUUCUCCCUCCUGUUUUAUUUUUAUGUUGCAAUUUAGCUGUUUCUGAACACGCUCGUGUCAACUGGCUACUUGCCAGCCGAGCUUCAAGGUCUUCCUGCUCAUCCAAAUGUACUAAUUAUUUGUUUCUUAUUCUCUCUUGCUCCAGAGGGCAGGCUGAAAAUAUCAGGGAAGCAGGCCCCAGCUAAAGAUUAGAAGUAGUAGGAGAUAUUUGACACAGAGGAACAGGCUGACCCUGGGAAGCAGCAGGCGCUCAUGUUUAAGCAGAGACUGGGCAGCUUAUCCUGCCAGGAUCCCACCUUGAGCAAGAGGUUGGACUUGAAGUUCCUUCCCUAGGUCCCUUCUGCUUGUGUUACCUGAAACAUUUUCAUGCUGCCAGACAUCUUUUAUUUCAUUUCUGAACUGUGUGCAAUAAAUAAUUUUAAGAAAAAUAAAACUGAAUAAAAUGCUUUAAAAAUUGGCUUCCAGCAGAUUAAAACAGCUGGGUAAUAAAAUACAUUGUUGCCUAGUGCCAACAUUAUUGUAAAGUCGAUGCUAGGCAAGCUUCUCUAAGGAAGAUGUUCCAUAGCUGGGGUGCCACCACUGAAAAUGCCCUGUCUCUUGCUGCUGAGUGCUGUCCCUCUGAUCAAGGAAUUAUCAGAAGGAGGGCUUCAGCAGAGCACCCAAAAACAGGAGAAGGAGAAGAGGUGGAGAUACUACCAACCCCCAGUCUCACCUGCAGUUGGAUCCUAGGUUUUUUUAUAGGGGAGAUAAGAUCAUUUAACUCUACUUGGCAAACCCAGGGAUUUUCUAGGGCUAAGUUUAUAUAUGAACAAACAGAAUGGCCACUCCGUCAGAAUGCUUGGAUAAACCAUUUGCUUCUUGGUGACUGACUGAGGUUAUAUUUUAACAAAAUAUAGGGAUGUUUGCUCUCUUUGGCCAAUAAGUGACAAAGGUCCAGGUCUAUGGCCUUGGUUCCAUGACUGCAGCAUCCGUGAAUUUUGAUAGGAAUAUAGGAAGCUGCUGUAUUUCUACUGAGUCAGACCAUAGGUCCAUUUAGCUAAGUAUUGCCUACACUGACUGGCAGCAGCUUUCCAGAGUUUCAGACAGAAGUCCUUCCCAGCCGCACCUGGAGAUGCCAGGGAUUGAACCUAAAACCUUCUGCAUACUAAAACAGGUGUUCUGCCACUGAUCUACAGCACACCUGAAUAUGACGAGUCAUUCUAGAAAUAACAGCUAGCUCUUCUCUUCCCUUUAUUUUUGAGUGCUAAUAAGGACUUUGGAAGCGAUUGACUCUAAACUUCUUUGUGAGCAAAAUUUGUCUCCAUUUCACUUGAUAAUGGGAAGAGAUGAAGAUACUAACCUCACAGUUCUAACCAGGUCUGCUCGGAGGUAACACUACUGAAUUCAGUGAGGCUUACUCCCAGGUAAGUGGGAUUGCAGCCUUUGUCUUGGGAGACAUAGGAUCAAUGCUGCCAUAAUGUUAACCGGAUCUCUUCCAUUGUUCUUAUACAAGAGCACAGGUUUGGGAGUGCGUAUCUGAGGAUUUUUUGGAGAAGGUUGUUUGGUCCAUGAGGCUUCCAGGGAAAAGAAAGAAAGACAGGAUUACAUGCCUGUGAAUAAUAGCUAAUGCAUAACUAAUAAGGCAUUUUGGAGACUUAUGUGUUGAAUUAUUCAUUUGUUUGGUGCUCUGACAGCAGAAGUUGCCUUUCAGGGUGAGUGAGAAUUCUCUUGUCAUAUGUAGACUCUCAAAUAACAGAUGUCUAUAAAGAAAGGUGUGGUAGAAGGGAAAGGAGAAGAAUGGACCAAAGAAAGGCAGCCAGAAGCCUUUUGAUGACUGAUGGCACAGCUGAGAUUUUGUUUAUGUCGUUUGUGUGAUUCUUGUGGACCAUCAAUGUUCAGUUCUUCUUAAGCCACAGACAACAGCCAUUUAAGCCUAUGGCUGGGGAACCUGCAUAGGACUUGCCUACGCCAUAUAGGUUUUCAUUUGGUAGGAUGUAACCUGGAGCCUCACCUAAGGUCUGUUCCUAGAGGAAAUAAAAAAGACAGACAGACAGGGUGAGAAAGGAAGCAAGUGAGAGAAAGGAAGAUCUAAAAAGAUGGAGCCAUUUAGAUGGAUAAUAGUAAGUUUACCCAGUGUUGAAGGUUGGGAUAAAAUAUGGGCCCUGACUCACAAAAGGUUGGAGCCUGGUGCUUUAAAAUAUUCAAGGAAAGAGAACUCAAAAAUAAAAUAUAGGGCAGAAGUCUUGCUCAUUAAACUUAUUGGGAAAUUGAUUGAUUUUAAUGACACUUUCAGAAGUAUGGCUUUUCCGUUGCUGUGUCUACAUUUUCCUUCUGUUAGUAAUUCAUUUGUUUCAAAAAUACAGAUUUUCUUCUUAGUGCACCCAGAGCACUCGGAGCUCUGCUCUUAUUGUAAUUUCAUACAGCAUUGUCUGCUGGGACCCUUUCCUGCUCAAACCGCAUUGGAAUGUGGCCCUGAUUUCAAUAGGCCUUGCAUACAAGUUUCCCAGUGGAUUGUACUUAAUAUCUCCCUUGAUUAAAAUAUUAAUUCUUGCUACUCAUGAUUGUGAUACAUUUCCUUCUUGUAGAUGUAAAUUCUGGGUAGUGUGGAGGCUAUUAAUGAAGCAUAUGGUGCUAUGGGGAAAGGGGAAAAUACAUUUAGCAACAAGCUGAACUUUGAUUGUCAUUACAGAUUAUAUAAUUAAAAAAAUAUUGUUGGAACAGUGCAGUGUGCUAUAGCUCAGUGGUACAACAUAUAGUUUACACCAUCCUUAUAAACAGGCUGUAUAUUCCUGCAUUGCAAGGGGCUGGACUACAUGAUCCUCUGGGUCCCUUCCAACUCUACAAUUCUAUGAGUCUGGCUGCAUAGCAUGUGCUCUACCGCUUGAGGCAUGGCCCAGAACUAUAGCUCUUUUUCCAAGGAGCUCAGGAGCACAUGUAUAUUUAAAGAAAUUGCACUUUUUUGUGCAGCAUGAAAAGGGGUGACUUUUGCUAAUUCUCAAUUUUCCUGCUUCCUCUUGAUCCAAGCCACUGCCUAUUUUUAUUACACUAUUUUCAUGUAUAGGUAUUUUCUGGAGAGACUGGGUGCUGUUUUGGUUUAGCCUCUUUACCAUUGGCAGUUCCUAUUGUUUAGUUCAUUCUGGAGAGCUAGCUGCACCCCAGUGUUCAUUUUAAAAGAAAAGUGAAAUGGAAAAUAAGGUUUCACAUUCCAAUCUAAUAGGCAUUAAAUGGCAAGAUUCAAGACAUUCACUUUUUCACUUUAGUUGCAUUGUGCUUGUUUGGAAUAGGAAGAUUGGGAGUAGCAGCAAACUCACUUUAUGGUUCAGUCACAACAUGUACUUUAUAUAUGGGAAGUACUUAUACUUACUAGAUGAUGGGCAUGUGAAGAUGGGUAAGGAAGUUGAAGUCGGUUGUCUAGCUCUGUUCAAUUUCAGAGUCUGUUAUUUCUUCACUUGGGGAAUUUGAUUCACAGAGUAUGUGAAUUAUACUGUAAUGAGGACUCAUUCAAAUACUGCCUCCGACCUUUCUCCUCUCCCCAAAAAACCCCAAGGCAAUAUGUUAUUUUGCUUUUUUUGCUGUAGGUCUCAAGUAAGAAUGCCUCUUUCAACCCGGUUAUUCAGCUCCUCCAACAUCUGGCACCAUCGUCUCUGAAAAUGACAGGUUUGUAUUAAGAGGUCUGGAUAAGUGUGAGUGCCAAGUCUGUACUUGGAAACAGCCAUCUGUGUGUGCACUGCUCUUACGGAUGCUGGCCAGCACAAACACAAGGGGGAAAACCCACACCCAACACCUGAAAGUGUGCAUACAGUGCUGACCUGGGGGGUUGGGAGACUGACUCAAGGCAGUGUCUCCUUCCCCAACAGGUGAUCACUAUCUGAACUGAAUAUAUUGCUCAUCUGUUUUGUGGUGAGUGCAGGAAAUCCUCACAUCUUACAUCUUGCAGCUUAUGCACAGCUGCUUAUACACAGUAUGAUCUCUGGAUCUGGGGCUAUUAUGUUACAUGCCUGUUUUCUUUUAUACUGGCACAGGGGUUUGUGGGAGAUACCCAGAAAUUUUGGGUAAAUAGGUUUGUCGGAUCAUUCCAGGUUCCAACUAACCAAGAUUGGAUGGCUGGGGCUUCUUAUCCCGUUGUGUAAAUAUCUGUCUGCUGUUAUGUAACAUUUGCUUGGGAUUUAUUUUUAAGACGUUAAAAGUAUUUUUCCAAGAAGUUUUUCUGUCUCUUUAUUGCCC